RNAcentral lists this transfer RNA (61 nucleotides) under Dolabella auricularia (sea hare). RNAcentral describes it as "tRNA-Tyr". The record is from RNAcentral. Lineage: Eukaryota; Metazoa; Mollusca; Gastropoda; Aplysiida; Aplysiidae.
AUUUUGGUGGCUGACUAAUAGGCGAUAGAUUGUAAAUCUACUUAUGGUAAUACUACCCCUU